GAUCAUGGCUCAGGACGAACGCUGGCGGCGUGCCUAAUACAUGCAAGUAGAACGCUGAAGAGAGGAGCUUGCUCUUCUUGGAUGAGUUGCGAACGGGUGAGUAACGCGUAGGUAACCUGCCUUGUAGCGGGGGAUAACUAUUGGAAACGAUAGCUAAUACCGCAUAACAAUGGGUGACUCACGUCAUUUAUUUGAAAGGGGCAAAUGCUCCACUACAAGAUGGACCUGCGUUGUA
This 235-nucleotide ribosomal RNA is filed under the name uncultured bacterium. RNAcentral's name for it is "partial 16S ribosomal RNA". It matches the Rfam family "Bacterial small subunit ribosomal RNA", at positions 15 to 240 of the family's 1533-position model. The record is from RNAcentral.